UAGGGAAUCUUCGGCAAUGGACGAAAGUCUGACCGAGCAACGCCGCGUGAGUGAAGAAGGUUUUCGGAUCAUAAAACUCUGUUGGUAGAGAAGAACGUUGGUGAGAGUGGAAAGCUCAUCAAGUGACGGUAACUACCCAGAAAGGGACGGCUAACUACGUGCCAG
Molecule: ribosomal RNA, 165 nt
Filed under: uncultured bacterium
Lineage: Bacteria
Description: partial 16S rRNA
Rfam family: Bacterial small subunit ribosomal RNA
Source: RNAcentral